This 255-nucleotide ribosomal RNA is filed under the name Leclercia tamurae. Its description in RNAcentral is "partial 23S ribosomal RNA". It matches the Rfam family "Bacterial large subunit ribosomal RNA", at positions 228 to 521 of the family's 2925-position model. The record is from RNAcentral. Lineage: Bacteria; Pseudomonadati; Pseudomonadota; Gammaproteobacteria; Enterobacterales; Enterobacteriaceae.
ACCGAGAUUCCCCCAGUAGCGGCGAGCGAACGGGGAGCAGCCCAGAGUCUGAAUCAGCAUGUGUGUCAGUGGAAGCGUCUGGAAAGUCGCAGGGUACAGGGUGAUACUCCCGUACACGAAGAUACACCUGCUGUGAACUCGAAGAGUAGGGCGGGACACGUGGUAUCCUGUCUGAAUAUGGGGGGACCAUCCUCCAAGGCUAAAUACUCCUGACUGACCGAUAGUGAACCAGUACCGUGAGGGAAAGGCGAAAAG